This is a long non-coding RNA of Raphanus sativus (radish), 1246 nucleotides long. RefSeq lists it as uncharacterized. The record is from RefSeq and is a predicted model, not a curated record. Lineage: Eukaryota; Viridiplantae; Streptophyta; Magnoliopsida; Brassicales; Brassicaceae. The transcript has 6 exons.
ACUAUUAAAAUCAUAUCAGCCCACCCAGCCCAUUUAGACAAACCUGUUCUUCAUCUGCAUGCUUGGCGACUCUCUCCACACUCUUCCACUUCAUCUUCUCCAAUUUCUGUUUUUUUUUUCCGUUACCUUCUCAAUCAAUGACUAUGUUAAAGAAAUAAUUAAAGUUUUCCUCCACCUCCCUUUGAUACUACUCCUAUAUAAAGCUCUUGGGUAAUCCAUUGUUAAACUGUAGCUUGAUUGAUCAUGAUAAACUAUUGUUUCGUUAAAUUAUUUUUACAUUGUAUCUGAGGGGCAGAGAGUAUGUGAGAGCAAUAGAUAGUGAGAGAGGAGAGAAUGAAUGGUGGUGAUGAGAUCAGAGCUUCGUCGUUUUAGAUCAGAGAUUCUCUCAGGUUUGAAGGCAGUUCAGGCGAAGAAGUUCAAGAAGGCUGUGUACUGCUUACAAUCAAGGGACUGGACGAGGAACGUCUGUGUUAGAAUUGAUUGCUGCUUUUAAAAAAAGCUUCUGGCAAGAAAAUACCUAUCAAGCUUUGUAUGAGAAGGCCAGGAGAUGCAACUGCAGUUUAUGCUUCAACAGAGAGAACUGAGAAAGAACUUGGCUGGAAGUAGAUUGUCUUUUAUUCAACUGAGACAUGUGUUUCACGAAAAUCAAAGGUGGCUUGGGGUACUUCAGCUUUUGUUUGCAGUUCUUUCAGUGAGUGUCAACCUCCACAUGAGAAACAUAGGAUGCAACUUAAUAGAGAACUGGGUUAAAGGUAAGACGGAUCAAGUUUUGGUUUCAGAACUGAAGAAUACAGAAUAAGGCACAAUAAGAAAGAGUUGAUAGUUGUGCACUCAAGGAAGAGAAUAUUUGGAUUCAUUGCGAAAACAUUGCCAUUCGAGAAGCUCACAAACACACCAUUUGCCACAACUGUGGUGAUGCUCCUGUUCAUGACGACUCUUUGAUGAACAGAAGCUUUGAAUCUAAAAUGUUUAGAGAAGAGGUUCUAGCUUUUUUUUUACCAUCUCAUGAUCAAAACAAGGAUACUUUGUUCAUUGAGAAGCUCCUCUCAAGCUGUCCUGUUCUUGAAGAUUUCACCGUGUAUAGGGUUUUUGAUGACAAUAUACCUGUUCUGCGUAUGAGAUCUCAGUGUCUUAAGAGGUUUUGUGUAAAGUUUGGCCGCCAGAGAAGAAUUUUUGGUAGAGAGUAUGCGGUUUGGUGUCAGUCUAAUGAGAACUGUUGGUAUCAAAUCUUUUUUACUAUUUUUUA